UCAAUGACUGGAUCCAUCAGUUGG
Molecule: non-coding RNA, 24 nt
Filed under: Mus musculus (house mouse)
Lineage: Eukaryota; Metazoa; Chordata; Mammalia; Rodentia; Muridae
Source: RNAcentral